Molecule: long non-coding RNA, 1474 nt
Filed under: Callithrix jacchus (white-tufted-ear marmoset)
Lineage: Eukaryota; Metazoa; Chordata; Mammalia; Primates; Cebidae
Description: lncRNA (ENSCJAG00000087282.1)
Source: RNAcentral
CAUGCCGGGGCUGUCUUUAUAGCUGAGACUCCCGCCGGGGCCCCGCCUGGCCGCCCCGGGCUGGUCCGGCCAAUCAGGAGUGGGAGCGGGCCCCGGGGGCGGGGCUUUCUCUCGGCUUGACUCACCCGAGUAGACGAAUCUGGCUUCGGCGGCGCACGCUCAGCCCCUCCUAAUAGCGCCGCGGACCUGCCCCUGAGGCCAGCUGGGUCCGCCUCCCCCCGCCGCCUCCUGGGCGAAGACGCCAGAAGGAGUCUCCCGUCCGGCUUCCCUCCUGAAUCCCUUCUUCAAUCAACUCCAAAUGUCAGCCAAAAGGGGAACCAGUCCCGUUUACUCUGCACCAAGAACGGCUGUGCCGGGGCUCGGGCAAAACCGCAGAGCCGGCUGCAAGAGUUGUGCUGGCAACCCGUGGGGCUCCUCCGCUGGGAAUCUCCUGGUCCUUGUGCAAGUAAGAUUCGUCUGAAAGUGUGGCAUCCUCUCGUUCUCUGCGCUUUCACUGGGAGCUACAAGCCUGAGCUGCUAGUGGUCAGCCAUCUUGGAUCUUUCUUCCCUGGCAUGAGAUUUUAAAGCCAAACAUACAAAUUAAAUUCCUCUUUUAGUACAGUAUUUUUAGUCUAGUAACAUCUCAUGACUCAAGAACUAUGUACCUCAAAGUAAAUGAAAUUGAGGUUCAAAGAGAUUUCAAGCCAUUCAAAAUAUGAAGGUACCCAGUGACUAUAAAUUACUAAACUUCUGGCAAUCUGUCUCUUUUCCUGACAUCUAAUUAAAGUUUUAUCAUAUAUGGGUAUUAAUUAUUGUUUUGAGCAUGGGCUCUGAAUUUUACUGAGUUCACUAGCUCUAGACACUUACAAAUAUGUUUUGCUAUAAAUUACUGGCACUGUUUCUGUUGAUAUUCAGCAUAAUCAAACAUUUGUAAGCAUGCUGUCUUUUCAAUCUGUUCAGCUGAUGCACUUUACCUGAUCUUUCAUUAAAGUAAUCAAAACACUUGCUGUGUCACAUCUAAUGAAUGUUGCAUGUAUGAUUAAGUGCUUUCAUUCAUAUUGCAAGUUUGAUUUAAUGUAAUCUGCCUUUCAGACAGCCAUUAGCAUAGCUCCUACAUGAAUUCGAUUAAUUGGCUGAAUUCUUCCAGAUGUCCAUUAAGCAUUACAGGAAUUUCUAUGUAGAAACAGCAGGGACUGUCUAGCACAGAACCAAACAAUGUAAUGUUAUAUUGCUGCCAUGACUUACAAAAAGCUAGAUUCAUUUUCAUUAAUAAAACAUCUGUACCCCUGCACAGCUAUGCAUUGAGAUGCAUUUAUUUUAUAUGUUUAUUUCUCUUAUGACUGUAAAAAGAUAGUUAAACAGAAGCACAGUUUCUGAAAUAUAGACCCAGAGUUUAACAGAUGCUGACUGACAAAACAGCUCAAUUUUUAGUUUACAGUAGGUCCUAAACAGAAGAAAAUACACUAACAGACACCUGUUUGAAACAGAAUUAAAG